UACGAAGGGGGCUAGCGUUGUUCGGAAUCACUGGGCGUAAAGCGCACGCAGGCGGAUCGUUAAGUCAGGGGUGAAAUCCCGAGGCUCAACCUCGGAACUGCCUUUGAUACUGGCGAUCUUUGAGUCCGGGAGAGGUGAGUGGAACUCCGAGUGUAGAGGUGAAAUUCGUAGAUAUUCGGAAGAACACCAGUGGCGAAGGCGGCUCACUGGCCCGGUACUGACGCUGAGGCACGAAAGCGUGGGGAUCAAACAGGAG
This 256-nucleotide ribosomal RNA is filed under the name uncultured bacterium. RNAcentral's name for it is "partial 16S ribosomal RNA". It matches the Rfam family "Bacterial small subunit ribosomal RNA", at positions 524 to 778 of the family's 1533-position model. The record is from RNAcentral.